RNAcentral lists this ribosomal RNA (497 nucleotides) under uncultured bacterium. RNAcentral describes it as "partial 16S ribosomal RNA". It matches the Rfam family "Bacterial small subunit ribosomal RNA", at positions 28 to 507 of the family's 1533-position model. The record is from RNAcentral.
GACGAACGCUGGCGGCGUGCCUAAUACAUGCAAGUUGAGCGCUGAAGGUUGGUACUUGUACCAACUGGAUGAGCAGCGAACGGGUGAGUAACGCGUGGGGAAUCUGCCUUUGAGCGGGGGACAACAUUUGGAAACGAAUGCUAAUACCGCAUAAAAACUUUAAACACAAGUUUUAAGUUUGAAAGAUGCAAUUGCAUCACUCAAAGAUGAUCCCGCGUUGUAUUAGCUAGUUGGUGAGGUAAAGGCUCACCAAGGCGAUGAUACAUAGCCGACCUGAGAGGGUGAUCGGCCACAUUGGGACUGAGACACGGCCCAAACUCCUACGGGAGGCAGCAGUAGGGAAUCUUCGGCAAUGGACGAAAGUCUGACCGAGCAACGCCGCGUGAGUGAAGAAGGUUUUCGGAUCGUAAAACUCUGUUGGUAGAGAAGAACGUUGGUGAGAGUGGAAAGCUCAUCAAGUGACGGUACCGGAGGAAUAAGCCCCGGCUAACUUCGUG